AUUGAACGCUGGCGGAAUGCUUUACACAUGCAAGUCGAACGGCAGCACGGGUGCUUGCACCUGGUGGCGAGUGGCGAACGGGUGAGUAAUGCACCGGAACGUAUCCAAUAAUGGGGGGAUAACGCACCGAAAGGUGUGCUAAUACCGCAUACGCCCUGAGGGGGAAAGCGGGGGAUCGUAAGACCUCGCGUUAAUGGAGCGGCCGAUGCCGGAUUAGCUAGUUGGUGAGGUAAAGGCUCACCAAGGCGACGACGGGUAGCCGGCCUGAGAGGGCGACCGGCCACACUGGGACUGAGACACGGCCCAGACUCCUACGGGAGGCAGCAGUGGGGAAUAUUGCACAAUGGGCGAAAGCCUGAUGCAGCGACGCCGCGUGAGGGAUGAAGGCCUUC
Molecule: ribosomal RNA, 392 nt
Filed under: uncultured bacterium
Lineage: Bacteria
Description: bacterial SSU rRNA
Rfam family: Bacterial small subunit ribosomal RNA
Source: RNAcentral